Molecule: small RNA, 579 nt
Filed under: Pongo abelii (Sumatran orangutan)
Lineage: Eukaryota; Metazoa; Chordata; Mammalia; Primates; Hominidae
Description: processed transcript
Source: RNAcentral
ACCCUCCCGGCGCAGAGAACGCCGGCUCCUCAGCGCGUUCUGCGGUCAUGGAGAUCCCCGGGAGCCUGUGCAAGAAAGUCAAGCUGAGCAAUAACGCGCAGAACUGGGAACAUUGACGAAACUUGUUUGACUGCUCUGGAGAGUUUUUGUUGGGAAGUGGAGGGAAUGCAGAGAGCAACCAAUGUCACCUACCAAGCCCAUCAUGUCAGCAGGAACAAGAGAGGUCAGGUGGUGGGGACCAGAGGUGGCUUUCGUGGUUGCACAGUUUGGCUAACAGGCUUGUCUGGGGCAGGAAAGACUACUGUGAGCAUGGCCUUGGAGGAGUACCUGGUUUGUCAUGGUAUUCCAUGCUACACUCUGGAUGGUGACAAUAUUCGUCAAGGUCUCAAUAAAAAUCUUGGCUUUAGUCCUGAAGACAGAGAAGAAAAUGUUCGACGCAUCGCAGAAGUUGCUAAACUGUUUGCAGAUGCUGGCUUAGUGUGCAUCACAAGUUUCAUAUCACCUUAUACUCAGGAUCGCAACAAUGCAAGGCAAAUUCAUGAGGGUGCAAGUUUACCGUUUUUUGAAGUAUUUGUUGAU